CCCAACACUUCAUGGAACGUCGCAUUAAGAGGCAGCAAGCGCCUGCCUGCUCACUUAACACACACUCAUUUAAGAAGAGCGAGAUCUUACAAGGGGGAGACGGAUGGCAAAAUCAACAAUCUGUCUGAGAGGUGGGAGGAAAUCAGAGAAUCCAGAGGAAACCCACACGGACACGAAGAACACACGAAACUCCACGCCGACAGUAAUCUGAGCUCAGGAUCAAACCACGGACCCUGAAGCUGGUUAAGCAGUAGAGUCGUGACUGCAGUGCCGUGAUAUCCGUGUAUCACUGUCGACAGCAUCUCCUCCGGCUUUCUUUUCCCUCCACAAUAGCUUAAUUGUUAGUUUGGACGCCCACUCGAUAGAUUAAUGAAAUGAAAGGAGGCACGGAAAUGAAUGAGGGGAAGAAGAAAAAAUGUCAUAAACGAAUAAAUCAAAAGACUUCUGCGUUCGUCAGUCGUUUAAUAAAUGAAACGCUGUUAAAUUACCGACCGGUGUUUCUUCAGAAAAUACAAGUUAUCUAACUUAAUGCAAGUUAAGAGACUGAGAUUUAUUUACGAUUUUAGCCUGAAGACUUGCACUUCAAGGCUUCUUCAAAAGAAAGGGCAAGUGGA
Molecule: long non-coding RNA, 614 nt
Organism: Tachysurus vachellii
Lineage: Eukaryota; Metazoa; Chordata; Actinopteri; Siluriformes; Bagridae
Exons: 3
Source: RefSeq, a predicted model, not a curated record